GACUGGAGUAGUUGAGAGGCACAAACAAGAGAGGACUUGCCUCAACAAGGUAGAAGGUUUGCAGAGAAUCAUACUUCCAUCGGAAAGUGCAGAUCUGUUCUGUUCUUCCCUGAGAAGAGGCACCCUAAUUUCUCAAAAUCUGACAUGUUUAUGUUUAAAGGAAUCAUCACGCUAUUCCAACAAGAGCGACACAUAGAGAAGAAGACGGGAAAUAAAAAGGUCCAAACUAGAAGCUAA
Molecule: long non-coding RNA, 237 nt
Organism: Grammomys surdaster
Lineage: Eukaryota; Metazoa; Chordata; Mammalia; Rodentia; Muridae
Exons: 2
Source: RefSeq, a predicted model, not a curated record